UGAGAUGUGCAAAUCCCAUGACGAGUGGUGCCUGGGGGAGGUGCCAGGCAGCCCCAUGUGUGCUGAUGGCAGCUGGAGCAAUCCAGACAGCCAAACCUGCUGUCCUGACCAUGCUGUGAGGACUGGGCUGCAACUGGAAUGGGAGCAGGCUCUCAGCAGUUUUGCAGAAGGUGCAAUGUUAGCUGGCUAAGGCAUCAUUCUUCCUUUUUGUUCCAACACAGAGCAGCUGGAGAGAGAAGGCAGGAAGAAGAAAUAAUGUGAAGGGGAAAAAAGGGAUCACAGCAAUAUACAGGUUGGAGAGACUUCAGCUCAGGAGCAGGACAGCAAACUCCAGGUUGCCACUCAGUUAAUGUGCUGAUGUGCUCUCAUUGAUGUCACUGCCCUGUCUUGAGGUGACUUGUUCUGGAGAGAGUGCUUCCAAUGGGAUGUCACAGGACUGUGAUGCAAUUCCUGCAAAGAAUUGACAAAAGAGUUUCAAUGAAAAAGACAUUCUCCAAGCAACUAGAGGGGAAAAUCAAUUGUCCCUGACUGUCAUCUCCAAUUCUGAGCUUGCAGAAUUAUAUAAGAUGAAGCAUUUGUUUCCCAAUAAACUGAUAAACGUGCCCUGUGAUGCUUUAAAAUGCAUAUUUGCCAGAGGAGGACUGUCUGUGUUUGAAAACAGUUACAAGAAUGAACUCCAGAUGGUCCUGCUGUCAAGGUACAAUAGGUGGUUUUUUGGCUUAACUAACAUGAGUUGUGGCAGAGAGAAAUCAGAUACUCACAAAGCUGAAUAAAGCACAUAUCCAGUGACAUGUCUCCUCUUUUCUGGGCU
Molecule: long non-coding RNA, 811 nt
Organism: Passer domesticus (house sparrow)
Lineage: Eukaryota; Metazoa; Chordata; Aves; Passeriformes; Passeridae
Exons: 5
Source: RefSeq, a predicted model, not a curated record